Molecule: small nuclear RNA, 147 nt
Filed under: Zalophus californianus (California sea lion)
Lineage: Eukaryota; Metazoa; Chordata; Mammalia; Carnivora; Otariidae
Description: U2 spliceosomal RNA (ENSZCAG00015014676.1)
Rfam family: U2 spliceosomal RNA
About the family: U2 is a small nuclear RNA (snRNA) component of the spliceosome (involved in pre-mRNA splicing). Complementary binding between U2 snRNA (in an area lying towards the 5' end but 3' to hairpin I) and the branchpoint sequence (BPS) of the intron results the bulging out of an unpaired adenosine, on the BPS, which initiates a nucleophilic attack at the intronic 5' splice site, thus starting the first of two transesterification reactions that mediate splicing.
Source: RNAcentral
AUCACUUCUCGGCCUUUUGGCUAAGAUCAAGUGAAUUGUUUAUGUGGAUUACUCUUGUCACCUUAACUCUAAUGGGGGUUGAGGGGAAUCACUUGUCUUCCACUGAUCUCUUAGGCUUAGACAAAAUCUAUGGGGGAACAAAUUAAA